RNAcentral lists this ribosomal RNA (252 nucleotides) under uncultured bacterium. RNAcentral describes it as "partial 16S ribosomal RNA". It matches the Rfam family "Bacterial small subunit ribosomal RNA", at positions 524 to 776 of the family's 1533-position model. The record is from RNAcentral.
UACGUAGGUCCCGAGCGUUGUCCGGAUUUAUUGGGCGUAAAGCGAGCGCAGGUGGUUUAUUAAGUCUGGUGUAAAAGGCAGUGGCUCAACCAUUGUAUGCAUUGGAUACUGGUAGACUUGAGUGCAGGAGAGGAGAGUGGGAUUCCAUGUGUAGCGGUGAAAUGCGUAGAUAUAUGGAGGAACACCGGUGGCGAAAGCGGCUCUCUGGUCUGUAACUGACACUGAGGCUCGAAAGCGUGGGGAGCAAACAGG